UUAUAAGAAGUAAAAUUUACUUUUAAUUUCGACUUAAAAAAUUGAUUUAUAAUAAAUCCUUAUAAA
This 66-nucleotide transfer RNA is filed under the name Bombus consobrinus. Its description in RNAcentral is "tRNA-Arg". The record is from RNAcentral. Lineage: Eukaryota; Metazoa; Arthropoda; Insecta; Hymenoptera; Apidae.